Long non-coding RNA from Parus major (Great Tit), 3059 nucleotides. The record is from Ensembl. Lineage: Eukaryota; Metazoa; Chordata; Aves; Passeriformes; Paridae.
CGGAAUUUUAAGUUUCCCGUUACUCGACACCAGACCGUGGGGACCGGGGGAAGUUACCUCUCCCCAGAGCUGUCCUGGCAAGCGCACAAAGGUGCCCGCGUCGCCUCGCAGCUGGGAGCCGCGCUACCUCGCUGCAAUUACCCAGCGCAGCGUUUCCUAUUCACAGACACUGAAUUAAUCCUUAUUCAAGAAUAGAAAUUUUUUUCUUUACGGUUUUGUUUUCGCGGCCUCAUUUUUCUCAUUAGCAACAAAGUUUUCUUCCCCCCCUCCUCCCCUUCCCCCCCACCUCGUCUCGCCCAUCACAAUUUUAUCAUCCAUUAAAGUAAAGCACAGUGGGGUGGGUUGGUAUUCUCGUUUUCUUUCUUUUAAGCGCCAGCGAUCGUUCAACGCAAUCAUUUAAUCAUCCCGGGUAAUUUUCUUCACCCAGAAACAGACGUGAUUUAUUUAAAAAUGGGGCUGAUGGCGUGCGAAAGUUGCCCGCUGGGGCAGAGCCCGCGGCGGAGCGGCAGCACCGUGCUGGCCGGGGCAGCGCUGCCCGCAGCCCGCCCGGGCCGCUCGGAGCUCAGCGGGGCCAGGAAGCGAGGCCGCGGUGCCCGGCAGAGGGACAGAGAUGUAGCGGGACAGACGGAGGGAAGGGCUCGGAGGCCAGUUUUACUUGGCAGCAGAAGGUGUGACUUUGUAGCACGACAGUUCUGUCUUGCUGUCUCCUUGCCAGUGUUCCAUAGCUCUGCAGGUUACAGUUAAUAUUGGAAUGGUUACCCUGAGCAAGUCCCUGUGUCCCUUUGACAGUGGCCUAGGAGAUGCCUGGAAGAUGGUGAGUGCAUGGUGGCUCCUUCCAGGGAAGAUCUUGUUCCAGGGACGUGGGGUACCAGGAUGCCCUGAACCACAAUUUUCAGUGACUGAAAUAUUUUACAGGUAAUGAGGUGUAGGAAUGAUAGUGAUUAAAAUGACAUUUCUAGUUUACAUAAUACUGUUUUGUCCUACCACAAAUCUCUUCAAUUUCCAUUUAAUCUUCUGUUUUAAUUUAGACAUGUAUUUUUGAAUCCACAAACUAAAUUUCUUAAGAGGCAAAAUUUCUCAGUCAUAUGGGAAGGGGAGCAGAAGAGUGAUAAAAGGAGAGCAGGAAAGAGGAAUUUUCUUUCAUGCCUGUCUAGCAUGGCAGGAGCUGGAGAGGAACACGCCCAUGGGGGUUGCAGUCACUUUGUGCAAUGCUCUGUGUGGUGAGUGAGUCCAGCAUCUUGUAAGACACAGAGAAUGCAGUGAGAGCACCACUGGAGAGCUGCAAAGUAAGAAAGCGAUGCCAUCUUUCUUUGUAUAGCAGUUAGUUAGUUAACCCAAGCUGCAAGCUCUUCUGAACUUUCAGAAGUUACUGUCACUUCUAGAAGGAGCUUUAAAAUCAGGUUAGAUGGGCACCAAAAACAUGUCCAUGCCCAUGUUAUACCUGGUCACCUCUGCUAGUAAGGAAGAUUCUCUCUAGAAAGAUCAACCCUGAAACUUCUGGUGCUAUUUCAUUUCAAAAGAAGUCUCUCCAUGUUAACAGACAUUUACAUCAUCUGUACAGACAGCUCUCUUGACCAGCACAGUGCUGAAGUGCAAAGGUCUAUUUUCAUUAUUUAAAGGUCUUAAAAAUGCAGCAUCACAGUGUCAGGUGGGUGUAGCAGAAGCCCUGAAGCACCUGGCAUCAGGUGGUGCAACAUGAGAACUAUUUAGAAUUGAAUAUGGAAAGCAAAAAAUGGAGUGGUCUGGCACACUAUAAUGGAUUUAACCCUGCCCAUCACUACUUUCAUUCUUUUUCCUCAUCUUUUUUAUUAAAAAUUAUUCCAAAGUGAAAGCAGUGAGACUAAUCAGAUGAACGAUAAGAAUUUUUUCAAAGCACUGCCUGUUUUGAAAAUUAGCUUUUUCUAGCAGUGAAUAACUCUGAAUUGCUUUACUUUCACCAGGAUUGUAAAAUGUCAGUUAAUACUUAGUGAAGCUAACAUUUGUUUCAUAUGUACAAUAACUAAGUGGAUAAUCAUAUUCAGUACAAAUGUGAGUUCAUAUGAACCCCAUCUUUCUGGUGGUUAGAGGAUCCAUAGAAAGCAAAUUAUGUAGAGAGAGACAGAACAGAUUUCAGAGGUUUAUGUGUCUAUUUACUUGUCUAGGAUGAGUACUGAGUCCUCUCAGCACCUUGUGGCAGAGCUGUGGCUGCUGAGCACAGGGAUGUCUGUGCUGGUUAAAUCACCACAGCUCAGCUGGGGAACCCUGAACACCAGCACAGACCUCUGGUGCUGAUACACAUAAAACAACUUAACCCCACUGCUUAACUCAGCUGAACUUAUUUUGGCUUCUAGCACUGAAGAGUGCCUGAGAGCUGCACAGACAACUUUUGUAGUGCUGGAUCUGGCUGUUUAAGGUGUUACUUUAUUUCCCUUUCAGUUCAGCUGUUUAUUCCUGUCUGCUGAGAUUUCUCCCCCUUCCAUAUCUGAAUGAGUGGAAUAGAUCUCAUGAGCACUCUUCAUUCAUAUCACCACAAAGACUGAGCCAAUUCUUAUUUGGUUCCUUAUUUAAGAUAGGAAAGAGUCCAAAAUGUACUGGGCAGGUUUGCAAAGCUUAAGGAGAUCAUUUUACAAAAGGAGGUAGAGCUUAUGUAUCAGUGAGUCAGGCAGAAAAGAAUUCAUAAAGGUACAGCUUGUUUGAGCCAGAAUUUCACGAGGUGUUACCUUCCAAACCAAGCCUCCUAAAGGAACAACUGCCUACAAAAUAGGCUUAGCUUAAAAUGCCACUGAAGUAUGUCUAAAUUUGCACUGAAGUGGGGGGAGAACACUCCAUAAUUUGUCCUGUUGUGACAGGGCACAGCAGUAACAGCUUAAAACACGGAGGCUAUUACUUCAGCAGUCUCCUUACUGACAUCAGACAGGCACCUAGAGUCUCUUUUCUUGCAUGACCUACACAAAAAGUAGACUGGGCCCCUGUGUUCUCUCCUGGAUCUUAAGAAGUUAUUAAACCAAUUCCUUCUUUUGAAAGCUGUAUGCAUUCAUGCUGGCAUCCUCAAUAAAGCUGGGACACAAACAAAAAAAGCA